Molecule: ribosomal RNA, 460 nt
Filed under: uncultured bacterium
Lineage: Bacteria
Description: partial 16S ribosomal RNA
Rfam family: Bacterial small subunit ribosomal RNA
Source: RNAcentral
CCUACGGGUGGCAGCAGUGAGGAAUAUUGGUCAAUGGACGGAAGUCUGAACCAGCCAUGCCGCGUGCAGGAAGACGGCUCUAUGAGUUGUAACCUGCUUUUGUACAAGGGUAAACCCGAAUACGUGUAUUCAGCUGACAGUACUUUACGACUAAGGAUCGGCUAACUCCGUGCAAGCAGCCGCGGUAAUACGGAGGAUACAAGCGUUUUCCGGAUUUAUUGGGUUUAAAGGGUGUGUAGGCGGAUUGCGACGUUAGAUGUGAAAUGUCCGGGCUUAACUCGGGAACUGCCUCUAAUACUGUUGAUCGAGAGAGUAGAUGCGGUAGGCGGAAUGUAUGGUGUAGCGGUGAAAUGCUUAGAGAUCAUACAGAACACCGAUUGCGAAGGCAGCUUACCAAUCUAUAUCUGACGUUGAGGCACGAAAGCGUGGGGAGCAAACAGGAUUAGAUACCCGAGUAGUC